Molecule: ribosomal RNA, 458 nt
Filed under: uncultured bacterium
Lineage: Bacteria
Description: partial 16S ribosomal RNA
Rfam family: Bacterial small subunit ribosomal RNA
Source: RNAcentral
CCUACGGGUGGCUGCAGUGAGGAAUAUUGGUCAAUGGGCGAGAGCCUGAACCAGCCAAGUCGCGUGAGGGAGUACUGCCCUAUGGGUUGUAAACCUCUUUUGUCGGGGAGCAAAAGCCGGACGUGGCCGGCUGUGAGAGUACCCGAAGAAAAAGCAUCGGCUAACUCCGUGCCAGCAGCCGCGGUAAUACGGAGGAUGCGAGCGUUAUCAGGAUGUAUUGGGUGUAAAGGGUGCGCAGGCGGAUUUUUAAGUCAGCGGUCAAAUCGUGGGGGGGAACCCCAUCCAGCCGUGGAAUCUGGGGAUCUAGAGUGUGCGAGAGGGAUGCGGAGGGGGUGGUGUAGCGGUGAAAUGCAGAGAUAUCACGCAGGAGGCCGAGUGCGAAGGCAGCAUACCGGUGCACAGCUGACGCGCAGGCAGGAAAGCGGGGGUAUCGAACAGGAUUAGAUACCCCGGUAGUC